Molecule: long non-coding RNA, 308 nt
Filed under: Dermacentor andersoni
Lineage: Eukaryota; Metazoa; Arthropoda; Arachnida; Ixodida; Ixodidae
Description: uncharacterized LOC126544562
Source: RNAcentral
UUUUGCAGGCUAAGCAGACUUGGACUGAGCUGACCAAGAUACUUGUUUCAGUGAACCAUACUCGGGACACCAGAAAAAAAAUCGAGAUGUUCCGCCACACGUGCAUUCACCAGGAAUUCAGGUUCUCGGCGCUAGGCUUCUUCAAGGUUGGCCCACCCUUAGUGGUGUCGAUAACAAGCGCUAUCAUCGCUUACACCGUGGUCCUCUAUCAGUCAGACACGACCAUAUGGAACGCGGGCACUGCCACCGCCAACGUGACAUUGACAUUGUAAGCAGUUGUCAAAGGAAGCACUUUUCUCAAUCACCAC